RNAcentral lists this unclassified non-coding RNA (239 nucleotides) under Glomus sp. RNAcentral describes it as "partial contains 5.8S ribosomal RNA and internal transcribed spacer 2". The stretch from base 1 to 65 matches the Rfam family "5.8S ribosomal RNA", at positions 84 to 154 of the family's 154-position model. The record is from RNAcentral. Lineage: Eukaryota; Fungi; Glomeromycota; Glomeromycetes; Glomerales; Glomeraceae.
GUGAAUCAUCGAAUUUUUGAACGCAAAUUGCACUCUCUUCUGAGAGUAUGGCUGUUUGAGGUUCAGUAUUAAUAAAAAUCGGUGUGGUUGCUGCCUUUCGUGUUGUCGAACCGGAUUUGGGUCUUCUUGCCUUCUGUUAAGUGACAUAAAAUUUUGCAUGAUUUUUUCGAACGGAUUUAAAUGAUUUUACUUACGUUUGCGAUAGCGAAUAUUAGGUGCCGGCAUCUUCAUUAUCGCAG